GCAUCCAUGAGUUUUUCAUACUGUCCUUUAAUUGCAUCCUUUUCUUCUGGAGUGAGCGCCGCCAUGGUGCCGGCCUCCAGCAGCAGGCAGUCCUGGCGGCCCCGCGCCUCCAGCAGCGCGCUCGGCCCCGGCUCCUGCUUCCACAGCAGCCGCAGCCCUUUGCUCAGAGCCAUGGCGGGCGCCGCGGGUCUCCGACGGAGCUGGCGGGAAGCGGCUGGGCAGCGCCCUUCCCCU
RNAcentral lists this long non-coding RNA (234 nucleotides) under Gallus gallus (chicken). Lineage: Eukaryota; Metazoa; Chordata; Aves; Galliformes; Phasianidae. The record is from RNAcentral.